Molecule: long non-coding RNA, 236 nt
Filed under: Homo sapiens (human)
Lineage: Eukaryota; Metazoa; Chordata; Mammalia; Primates; Hominidae
Description: non-protein coding lnc-PMAIP1-3:1
Source: RNAcentral
CUGGUACGUAGAGCUGCUGUGUCUCUUGGGAGCCAAAGCCGCCCAGGGAAUCUGUGCUGGACCCAAGCCUCCUUUAGCCCAAAGCUCCAGAGCUCCAAUAGGGCAGAGUUCCUGGGACCCUGAAAGGAGAGGGGGAAACUCUCAUGGCUCCCGACGAAAGUUGGAGAUCCCAUGCUCCUCUCCUGCCAGAAAGUCACUGAAUCAGAUAAAUGUGGGUAUGUGGUUUUUGCCUUUUC